RNAcentral lists this ribosomal RNA (253 nucleotides) under uncultured bacterium. RNAcentral describes it as "partial 16S ribosomal RNA". It matches the Rfam family "Bacterial small subunit ribosomal RNA", at positions 524 to 776 of the family's 1533-position model. The record is from RNAcentral.
UACGGAGUGGGCUAGCGUUGCUCGGAAUUACUGGGCGUAAAGCGCACGCAGGCGGUUCGAUAAGUCGGAUGUGAAAGCCCCGGGCUCAACCUCGGAAUUGCAUUCGAUACUGUCGGUCUCGAGUCCGGGAGAGGUGAGUGGAAUUCCCAGUGUAGAGGUGAAAUGCGUAGAUAUUGGGAAGAACACCAGUGGCGAAGGCGGCCCACUGGCCCGAAACUGACGCUCAGGUGCGAAAGCGUGGGGAGCAAACAGG